UCGCGGUCGGGCCUCAACUCCAGCGAGAGAAAGGGUUGCAGUGCACCCAAACAGGACAUCCCUAUGCCUCGGCCAGAUCUUGUUAUCCACGAGUCAGAUCGCUGCUGCUGCAACUCGCCACCAGAUUUCGUCAUUCACGGUCGGAGAAAGCUGACCCACCGUCGAUCGCCGGAGUUUUUGAACGAGCCGCCGGCAUUCGCUGAGAGAAUGGAUAGCAG
This 218-nucleotide long non-coding RNA is filed under the name Olea europaea (common olive). RNAcentral describes it as "long non-coding RNA (OEUR_LNC009301)". Lineage: Eukaryota; Viridiplantae; Streptophyta; Magnoliopsida; Lamiales; Oleaceae. The record is from RNAcentral.